RNAcentral lists this ribosomal RNA (330 nucleotides) under uncultured bacterium. RNAcentral describes it as "bacterial SSU rRNA". It matches the Rfam family "Bacterial small subunit ribosomal RNA", at positions 627 to 954 of the family's 1533-position model. The record is from RNAcentral.
UGGAAACUGAUUUACUUGAGUGCAAAAGAGGACAGUGGAACUCCAUGUGUAGCGGUGAAAUGCGUAGAUAUGUGGAAGAACACCAGUGGCGAAGGCGGCUGGCUGGACUGUAACUGACGUUGAGGCUCGAAAGUAUGGGUAGCAAACGGGAUUAGAUACCCUGGUAGUCCAUGCCGUAAACGAUGAUUGCUAGUUGUUGAAAGGUUUCCGCCUUUUAGUGAUGUAGCUAACGCAUUAAGCACUCCGCCUGAGGAGUACGACCGCAAGGUUAAAACUUAAAGGAAUUGACGGGGACCCGCACAAGCGGUGGAGCAUGUGGUUUUAAUUCGA